GAUGAAGAACGUAGCGAAAUGCGAUAAGUAAUGUGAAUUGCAGAAUUCCGUGAAUCAUCGAAUCUUUGAACGCAUAUUGCGCCCCCUGGUAUUCCGGGGGGCAUGCCUGUUCGAGCGUCAUUUCACCACUCAAGCCUCGCUUGGUAUUGGGCAACGCGGUCCGCCGCGUGCCUCAAAUCGACCGGCUGGGUCUUCUGUCCCCUAAGCGUUGUGGAAACUAUUCGCUAAAGGGUGCUCGGGAGGCUACGCCGUAAAACAAACCCAUUUCUAAGGUUGACCUCGGAUCAGGUAGGGAUACCCGCUGAACUUAAGCAUAUCAAUAAGCGGAGGA
RNAcentral lists this unclassified non-coding RNA (331 nucleotides) under soil metagenome. RNAcentral describes it as "partial contains 5.8S ribosomal RNA, internal transcribed spacer 2, and large subunit ribosomal RNA". The stretch from base 1 to 120 matches the Rfam family "5.8S ribosomal RNA", at positions 35 to 154 of the family's 154-position model. The record is from RNAcentral.